GUACACUCCUGCGGGAGGCAGCAGUGGGGAAUUUUGGACAAUGGGCGAAAGCCUGAUCCAGCAAUGCCGCGUGUGUGAAGAAGGCCUUCGGGUUGUAAAGCACUUUUGUCCGGAAAGAAAUCCUUGGCUCUAAUACAGUCGAGGGAUGACGGUACCGGAAGAAUAAGCACCGGCUAACUACGUGCCAGCAGCCGCGGUAAUACGUAGGGUGCGAGCGUUAAUCGGAAUUACUGGGCGUAAAGCGUGCGCAGGCGGUUUGCUAAGACCGAUGUGAAAUCCCCGGGCUCAACCUGGGAACUGCAUUGGUGACUGGCAGGCUAGAGUAUGGCAGAGGGGGGUAGAAUUCCACGUGUAGCAGUGAAAUGCGUAGAGAUGUGGAGGAAUACCGAUGGCGAAGGCAGCCCCCUGGGCCAAUACUGACGCUCAUGCACGAAAGCGUGGGGAGCAAACAGGAUUAGAAACCCCGGUAGUCCCAUGA
RNAcentral lists this ribosomal RNA (478 nucleotides) under uncultured organism. RNAcentral describes it as "partial 16S ribosomal RNA". It matches the Rfam family "Bacterial small subunit ribosomal RNA", at positions 331 to 800 of the family's 1533-position model. The record is from RNAcentral.